AUGGCUGAGUGGGAAGAGAGUGUUCAGGUGACCAGGGAUAUGUGUGAGAAGAUGAAGAACCAGGUGACCAGUGUGCAGGUGAAGGAGCAGGUGACAAGUGUGCAGUAUCGAAUUUGUUUAUUCGGUGAUGGACAGACAUCUGUUGUACCAAUCAGUUGGAUUUUUGAUGACCAUGGAACAUUGAAGUGUCGAUGGACAUCAUCACUCUCAAACAUUAAAAACAAUUCUCCACCAAACCCUAACUGGAAGGUUUAUGACAUUGUGAAGAUCGUUGGACCAUCAAUUGGAGACUAUGAUCAAGCAAAUCAAUACAUCUCAGAUUACACAACGGGGGUCUCAGCAGCAGAGGACUCAAUUAAUUACUUAUUCAAUGACAGACCCUGCAGUUGUGGAAUUACCUGA
Molecule: long non-coding RNA, 402 nt
Filed under: Carassius auratus (goldfish)
Lineage: Eukaryota; Metazoa; Chordata; Actinopteri; Cypriniformes; Cyprinidae
Description: lncRNA (ENSCARG00000004402.1)
Source: RNAcentral